Long non-coding RNA from Leucoraja erinaceus (little skate), 2316 nucleotides. RefSeq lists it as uncharacterized. The transcript is spliced from 3 exons. The record is from RefSeq and is a predicted model, not a curated record. NCBI's taxonomy places the organism in Eukaryota, Metazoa, Chordata, Chondrichthyes, Rajiformes, Rajidae.
CAGUUAAGAUGCCGGGGCACACUGAAUGAUGCUCCGUUACUGCUAACCUCAUCACCAACAGCCAAGAGGCUUCCUCCUCCAGUAUGAACUCAUAAGAUGCGCCCGAGAAAGCAUUUUAUUGGCAUGCAUCAUACAGCAUGGUUUGGCAACAGCUCCAUCGACACUGCAAGAAAUUGCAGCGAAUUGUGUAAUCAGCCCAGACCAUCACACAAACCAACCUCCCUUCCGUUGACUCCAUCUACACUUCACACUGCCCGGGCAAGGCCAGCAUAAUGAGAGACCAGUCUCACCCUGGUCACUCCCUCUUCUCUCCUCUCCCAUCAGGCAAGUGGGUGGGUAUAUGGAACAAGCUGCCGGAGAAGGCAGGUAGUAUCAUAACAUUCACGAAACAUCUGGAUGUACGUGGAUAGGAUAGGUUUAGAGGAUUAUGGGCCAAACGCGGGCAAGUGGGACUAGUGUAGAUGGGACACGUAGGUCGGCAUGGGCAAGUUGGGCUGAAGGGCCUGUUUCUACACUGAAUUACUCUAUGACUUUAUUUUUCUAUUUUAGAAUGUGAGAAUGAAAUCCAUCACACGGACCAGAUUUCCAAAUUCACCUCGUGACUUCAAAUCUUUGGUAUGUGAAAUUUUAUGGAAAACUAAAGCACUAAAUAUUACCUGUGAAUCGUGUAACGACCUGCAGAUGAGUUUUCGCGCCCUGCACAGAAAUACAAUGUCUGCCUUGGGAAAAUGUUGCAAAUCGAAGAAAACGGUACGAAAUCCUAAAAGGCCGACAGUGAAGAAGACAAAGGAACUGCUGCAUAAAUUGGAACUGCUCUGGCAAUACUUAACAAAAUCUUCGGGGUGACAGAAAGGCUCUCGUCAAUAACAUUGCAGAACAGGACCAGCAAGAAAAGCACACUGACUGUCAACAUUUCCCCAACAUCCGCUGCCUUGCAAGGAGAAAGAUAUUUCCAAGACGUACAGGAAGUUGCAAUGGCGACAACAGUGGGGGGGGAGUCCAGUAAACUUCUGAGCAACUUAACACAAGCUGCAACACUCAAGAACAUAAAAAUAUUUGUGUUCUUUUGCCUGUUGGCAAAUGUAACGGCAUGACCACAUUUCCAACCGGACCAUGGAGAGGAACUGAUUUAUUGACUACUGACCGCGUAUAACCGUGCUACAGAUUUAAUAUAAAAUAUCUUUUUUACUUUUUUAUUUUCUUUGUUUCAUUGACGGUCGGAGGUUACGGGAAGGCUUGAUGGAAGUAUAUAAAAUUAUGAGAGGCAUUGACAGUGUAGACAGUCAAACCUUUGUCUCAGGGUGGAAAUCUACAACACGACAUACACGGUGGCGCAGCGGUAGAGUUGUUGCCUUACAGCACUUACAGCGCUGGAGACCCGGGUUCGAUCCCGACUACGGGUGCUGUCUGUAGGGAGUUUGUACUUUCUCCACGUGACCUGCGUGGGUUUUCUCCGAGAUCUUCGGUUUCCUCCUACACUCCAAAGACGUGCAGGUUGUGGGUUGAUUGGCUCGGUAUAAGUGUCAAUUAUCCGUAGAGUGCGUAGGAUAGUGUUGCACGGGGGUAGAAAUGCGCGGAGAUCGCUGGUCGGCACGGAAUCGGUGGAUUCAAGGGCCUGUUUCCGUACACAGGGCAUGUUUAUUUUACACAGAUAGUGGUGGGUUGAAACUAAACUAAACGAACUUCAACAUAAUCGGCAAAGUAUGCAACUCAAUUUUUAGUGCAUUGAAUCCAUAAAUUCGAUUCGUCUGAGAUCUAUCUGAGCAUGAACGGCGUUGUAGGGAAUUAGGGAGGAUCCUGAUCUCUCUGAAUUUCAGUCGAUAUAUAUAAAUGGUAUCUAAAGGUUUUCACUGGAGUCCUGGCUUAUGCAGGUUUGUUUCUGAGUUGCUGCCAAGGUUGGUGCUGGAAGUAGAUUCAAUAAUGGCAUUAAAAAGGCUUUCAACAGGCACGUGGAUGUGCAGUGAAUGUGUGUCACGUGCAGGCAGACGAGAUCAGUUUAACUUGGCAUCAUAUUCGGCACAGACAUUGUGGGAGGAAGUGGCUGUUCCAAUGCUGUACUGUGCUACGUUCUAUGUUCUCUUUGACUACUAUUGAGGUACCAGAGGACCGUGAGAUGGCUAGGGUUAAACUCUUGUCACAAACAUAGAGGUGGGCGCCUGGAAGACAUUGCUAUGAUAGUGACGUUUAAGAGGCUUUUAGGAAGGUAGAUGAGAUCAGUUCAGCUAGGCAUCAUGUUGGGCACAUGCAUUGUGGGCCAAAGAAGGCCUGUUCACAUGCUGUACUGUUCUAUGUUCUAUCACCUCGGCUUUCGUGGAG